UCUCCGUUGGUGAACCAGCGGAGGGAUCAUUACAGAGUUUAUUAUAACUCCUAAACCCAUGUGAACCUACCUUCUGUUGCCUCGGCAGGCAAGUCGUAUCUUGCUACCCUAUAGGACCCUAUCUUGUAAGACGUUACCUUAUAAGGUCCUAUCCGGUAGAGAGAUGCGGUACUACCUGCCGGUAGACUGAAAAAAAAAUUCUGUUUAAUAAAUGGUAUUCUGAAUCAUUAUAUGGAAAUUAAGUUAAAACUUUCAACAACGGAUCUCUUGGUUCUG
This 276-nucleotide unclassified non-coding RNA is filed under the name plant metagenome. RNAcentral describes it as "partial contains small subunit ribosomal RNA, internal transcribed spacer 1, and 5.8S ribosomal RNA". The record is from RNAcentral.